GUUAUCAUUUCUCUGGUAGCGGUGUCGUAAUACAUGAUGUCUUGCUUGAGAAUACUCCGGGUACCUAGCUAUGGAAGGAAGAAUAAAAAUUAUAAUAAUAAAAUCCUAAUUCUAAUAGAAUACUAACAAUGCUCUAAUUAGACUAUAAUAAUCUUAAGCAAGCUUAAUCAAAUUCAAAAAAAAUUCAAAGAAAUUUUAAACAAAUAAUAAAAAUUCUUAAAGAAACAUUAGAAAGAACACAAAUAUCAAUCAAAUACAUCUCAAUUCAAUCUUAAUUUAAUUCUAGUUAAAAUCCUAUUAAACUUCAUUCAAACUUUAAGCCAAAACUAAUUGAAUCUUAAAUCUUAAUAAAAUAUUAAAUCCUAAAUUAAACCCUAAACAAACCUUAAACCAAACCCCAACCAAAUCCUCAACCAAAUCCUAAUCAAAUCCUAAACCAAAUCCUAAAUCCUAAAUCAAAUCCUAACCAAAUCCUAAUCCAAACCUUAAACCUUAAAUCAAACCCUAAAAAAUCCUAAAUCCUAAACCAAAUCCUAACUAAAUUCUAAACCCUAAAUCAAAUCCUAACCAAAUCCUAAUCCAAAUCC
This 587-nucleotide long non-coding RNA is filed under the name Physcomitrium patens. RNAcentral describes it as "long non-coding RNA (PPAT_LNC007447)". The record is from RNAcentral. Lineage: Eukaryota; Viridiplantae; Streptophyta; Bryopsida; Funariales; Funariaceae.